RNAcentral lists this unclassified non-coding RNA (343 nucleotides) under soil metagenome. RNAcentral describes it as "partial contains 5.8S ribosomal RNA, internal transcribed spacer 2, and large subunit ribosomal RNA". The stretch from base 1 to 121 matches the Rfam family "5.8S ribosomal RNA", at positions 35 to 154 of the family's 154-position model. The record is from RNAcentral.
GAUGAAGAACGCAGCGAAAUGCGAUAAGUAAUGCGAAUUGCAGAAUUUCCGUGAGUCAUCGAAUCUUUGAACGCACAUUGCGCCCACUGGUAUUCCGGUGGGCAUGCCUGUUCGAGCGUCAUUAUCCCCCCUCAAACCCCGUGUUUGGUGUUAGACCCAAGUUGUGUGAACAACUGGUCUCAAAGACAAUGACGGCGUCCGUGGGACCCUCGGUGCAACGAGCUUUUAGGAGCACACGCUGAGUUUCAAGGACCCUCCGGGCCGGUCUCCUAUUUAUCAUCAAGGUUGACCUCGGAUCAGGUAGGAAUACCCGCUGAACUUAAGCAUAUCAAUAAGCGGAGGA